UACGUAGGGGGCUAGCGUUGUCCGGAAUCAUUGGGCGUAAAGCGCGCGUAGGCGGCCCGGUAAGUCCGCUGUAAAAGUCAAAGGCUCAACCUUUGAAUGUCAGUGGAUACUGCCGGGCUAGAGUCCGGAAGAGGCGAGUGGAAUUCCCGGUGUAGUGGUGAAAUGCGUAGAGAUCGGGAGGAACACCAGUGGCGAAGGCGGCUCGCUGGGCCGGUCCUGACACUGAGACGCGAAGGCGUGGGGAGCGAACGGG
RNAcentral lists this ribosomal RNA (253 nucleotides) under uncultured bacterium. Its description in RNAcentral is "partial 16S ribosomal RNA". It matches the Rfam family "Bacterial small subunit ribosomal RNA", at positions 524 to 776 of the family's 1533-position model. The record is from RNAcentral.